Molecule: ribosomal RNA, 231 nt
Filed under: Trachymyrmex cornetzi
Lineage: Eukaryota; Metazoa; Arthropoda; Insecta; Hymenoptera; Formicidae
Description: partial large subunit ribosomal RNA
Source: RNAcentral
GAAUUUUAUAUAUAGUUUAUUUUUUAAUCAUUAAAUAAUAAUUUAGUUUAGAGUAGAAUAUAUAUUUAGUUGGGAGGAUUGUUAAAUUUUAUAAACUUUAAUUGAAGAUAAAAAAAUAAAUAUUGAUUAAUAAGAUUAAUGAAUGAUUGUGAAAGUUGAUAAAAAGAAUUAAUUACCUUAGGGAUAACAGCGUAAUAAUUUUGGAAAGGUCUUAUUGAUAAAAUUGAUUGC